UACGUAGGGCGCAAGCGUUGUCCGGAAUUAUUGGGCGUAAAGAGCUCGUAGGCGGUCUGUCACGUCGGCUGUGAAAACCCGAGGCUCAACCUCGGGCCUGCAGUCGAUACGGGCAAACUAGAGUACUGCAGGGGAGACUGGAAUUCCUGGUGUAGCGGUGAAAUGCGCAGAUAUCAGGAGGAACACCGGUGGCGAAAGCGGCUUACUGGGUCUCUUCUGACGCUGAGGUACGAAAGCUAGGGGAGCGAACGGG
RNAcentral lists this ribosomal RNA (253 nucleotides) under uncultured bacterium. RNAcentral's name for it is "partial 16S ribosomal RNA". It matches the Rfam family "Bacterial small subunit ribosomal RNA", at positions 524 to 776 of the family's 1533-position model. The record is from RNAcentral.